Molecule: ribosomal RNA, 746 nt
Filed under: Apicystis bombi
Lineage: Eukaryota; Apicomplexa; Conoidasida; Neogregarinorida; Ophryocystidae
Description: eukaryotic LSU rRNA
Rfam family: Eukaryotic large subunit ribosomal RNA (bases 581-746)
Source: RNAcentral
CGUAACACGGUAUCUGUAGGUGAACCUGCAGAUGGAUCAUUCAUGUUUUAAAAAAUCUAUAAUUGAAUACGUUUUUUAUUUAAUUUAUUAAAUAAAAAAUGUGGAACAAUAUAAAGUUUGUUCAAAUAUAUUGAUAUAUUGACAACAUUUUCAAUAAUGUUGUAAAAAAAAAAAAANUUGAGAAAUAUCAAAUAGUUUUUUGAUGUUUUUCAAUUUUUUUUUUUUUUNGUAAUAUAUUUAAAUGUUAUAUUUAUGACUAUGUAAAUCAUUUAAUUAAAAUUAAAAAAAAANUUUUUAGCGAUGGAUGUCUUGGGUCUUGUUUCGAUGAAGAACGCAGCAAAUUGCGAUAAGCAGUAUGACUUGCAAAUUUCAAAGAAUCAUUAGAUUUUUGAACGCGAAAGGUGCCUUUUUGCUUUAAGCAGUAAGGCAUGUUCAGUUCAGCGCUCUUAUUUAUUGAAUUAAUGUGUUUUCACAUCUAUUCGCUAUUAAAUGCUAUAAUUCUUAUUAUGGCAUUUUGACUAUGAUACAAAAUUGAUUAUAAGUAAUAAUAUAUAUAAUCAAAUGUUUCUAAUUUCAUUAUGAGCCUGAGCUUGAACAAGGUUACCCGCUGAAUUUAAGCAUAUUAAUAAGCGGAGGAAAAGAAACUAACUAGGAUUUCCUUAGUAACGGCGAGUGAACAGGAAAAAGCUCGAGUUGAAAAUCAACAUUAUAUGUUGAAUUGUAGUCUCGUGAAACGUUACCAGUGG